GAGAGUAGGGACAUGGAGCAUUUAUCCGACUCAGAGGAGGAAAGUGUGGAGAGAGAGCUGUUUGAGAAGAGUGGGCAAGGACACAGCCAGCUACAAGGGAGAACCAGGGGAAUAAUAACACCCAUCUCAUUCUCCUCCCUCUCUCCUCAGAUCUCCUUCCAGGACUCUCUCAUGUCCUUCUAGGUCAGACUAUAGAGCAGAAGUAGCAAGAAAAUGAGGAGAGGGGACCUAAAGAUACCAGCAGGUGAGCUGAUAACCAUCCAUUUAGGAGACAGCCUACCCAAGUUCAAUGGAGGAAACUGAAUAUGAAGCAGUAGUUAAAGAAGCAUUAGAAGAGCUGAGUGUACACACAAGUAAUGGGCUUCCCAGUGCUUGAACAAACUGGAAGACGCUCAUUUGGAAGCAGCCUGAGAAAUAUGGCUUGCUAAGGCCAGGUACUAACAGCAUGGAAUGGGAAGAAAGAAAGAGAGAGAUGGAACUCCUACCUUUUGUGACAACAUGAAUGGAACUGGAUAAUAUUAAUCUAAGUGAAAUAAGCCAGCUGAUGAAAGACAAAUACCAUAUGAUCUCACCUAUAAGUGGACUCUUCAACAAAAUAAACUAACAAGCAAAAUAAACCAUAGGCAUGGAAACAUGGAGCCAACUGAAAGUGACCAGAGGGGAUGGGGAAAGAGGACAAUGGUGGAAAGAAGCAGAAGGGACUAGAUAAAGAACAUGUAUGAAUGACCCAUGGAUGUGGACAACAGA
Long non-coding RNA from Pteronotus mesoamericanus, 747 nucleotides. RefSeq lists it as uncharacterized. The transcript has 3 exons. Lineage: Eukaryota; Metazoa; Chordata; Mammalia; Chiroptera; Mormoopidae. The record is from RefSeq and is a predicted model, not a curated record.